UUUUAUGGAAAAUACCUUCAAUGUAGGUCUGGAUUCAACUGAUCUUGCCUUGGCUCGUGCUUGAUCUCACUCAGAAUGCUUGCAAGAGUAGAAUGAAAUGCACAAAAGGUCUUCUGGAGUUUUAAAUCUCAAAACAGUGAGAUUCACACUCAAUUUCAAGAUGAAAUUAUCAGGAUUAUCCUCUCAAAUGGAAGGGUUAGGGGUUUAGGAUCAAAUCUAG
This 220-nucleotide long non-coding RNA is filed under the name Lathyrus oleraceus (garden pea). RNAcentral's name for it is "Pisum sativum (pea) long non-coding RNA (PSAT_LNC037271)". Lineage: Eukaryota; Viridiplantae; Streptophyta; Magnoliopsida; Fabales; Fabaceae. The record is from RNAcentral.